AUCCAUUACAUGAGUUGCAAAAUUCUUUGUGCACUAUGUGCAGUGCAAAAAAUCGCACACUGCGCGCGGUGAUUCGCUCUCGCACGGGAUCGGCAAAAUUUUUUUUUCCCACCUACGUCCCCGAGCCCACAUGUGAGUGAAUCACAAUGUGCGAUUUUCUGCACCACGUACGGUGCAUAAAGAAUUACUCUAUAUGAGU
RNAcentral lists this long non-coding RNA (199 nucleotides) under Elaeis guineensis (African oil palm). RNAcentral describes it as "long non-coding RNA (EGUI_LNC000948)". The record is from RNAcentral. Lineage: Eukaryota; Viridiplantae; Streptophyta; Magnoliopsida; Arecales; Arecaceae.